AUUGAACGCUGGCGGCAUGCCUUACACAUGCAAGUCGAACGGCAGCGGACCUUCGGGUGCCGGCGAGNGGCGAACGGGUGAGUAAUAUAUCGGAACGUACCUUUCAGUGGGGGAUAACGUAGCGAAAGUUACGCUAAUACCGCAUAUUCUGUGAGCAGGAAAGCAGGGGAUCGCAAGACCUUGCGCUGAUUGAGCGGCCGAUAUCAGAUUAGCUAGUUGGUGAGGUAAAGGACUCACCAAGGCGACGAUCUGUAGCGGGUCGUGAGAGGAUGAUCCGCCACACUGGAACUGAGACACGGUCCAGACUCCUACGGGAGGCAGCAGUGGGGAAGUUUUGGUACAAUGGGCGCAAGCCUGAUCCAGCCAUGCCGCGUGAGUGAAGAAGGCCUCGGUUGUAAGAC
This 401-nucleotide ribosomal RNA is filed under the name uncultured bacterium. RNAcentral's name for it is "bacterial SSU rRNA". It matches the Rfam family "Bacterial small subunit ribosomal RNA", at positions 30 to 431 of the family's 1533-position model. The record is from RNAcentral.